UCCCCCUCGUGGGACCUAGUGGGCGGAGCUUGAGCUUCUCUGUACUGUGUACUGGCCAUCGGAAUUUACACAAUUUGCAUCGCACGAAAAUUGGUUAAUUCCAUUUCUCCAGCAGGCCAUUGGAACAUGUCUGUACUGACAGAUUUUGAGUUGGCAGGAAUUGAUUGUGGGUAUGAUGUUGAUGGUACUCUGUUAUACUCUCAAGGCCAUUUGAUUUGGCUUUGGUAAGUUUGCAUCCAUUUAUGGUUAUUUGUUAAGCAAGAGGGACUGAGAACCCCAUCAAAAGAAUAAAAAAAUGAUUCAGAUUUUCAGUUGCUAUCUUUAAUCAGUCUGACAUACAAUCAGAACGCCACUUUGCUGGGAAGAUUGAACCGCCAAAGAUUUUAAGAUUUAAGAAUGAAGGAGGAUGAUGCCUUGUUGGCUAUCACAAUUUGUGACUUAUUUAUAAACACAUUAUGUGAAGGUGACAUGGACGAAGAAGAAAUCCGGGCUCCUUUCUUAUUCACUUUUCAGAGACUAGAGGACAUGGAAUUUGCAGGAAAUACGAGACAAAAGAAAUAUCUGUGUGUCUUGUUUCUUCAACCCUGACUAGUGAAUAUUGUGGGAUGUUUUAAAUAUGAUAAAUGAUUGUAUGUAAAUAUCGUUUUCUUUUUGUAAAAUAACAUUAAAAUUCUGUGUGAAAAUAAGUGUUGUGUUCUUGAAAUAUAUUUAUAAUUUUAUAUAUUUUGUAUUAUAUAUUAUAUUUAUUUUAUGUUAGAUGCACAAUUUGCUAAUCAAGGUUAAUAGAAACAAAUAAAUCCAGCAACACUUGUAGGACAGUGGAAUAUGUGACUAUUAAAUUAUACAACUGCCAAAUGUGGAUUGGAUGCCUUACUAGUCUCUGAGCACGUGUUACCAUGUUCAUCUUGGCAAAUCACAAGGCUGGUUUCAGACUACUUUGCUUUGACUGGUUAUGUAUUGAAAUAGCAUAAUGCAUAGCCUACCACGCGAAGGAUGAGUCUAUCCUCAAUUACAGUAAUAUAAUUCCAUUUAAAUGAUUAUAUUUACAAGAUUUUUGGAGUACGUGCAUUCAUAUUUAUAUCCUACGAAUAAAAAACAGAAAGGACAGAUACGGUAACCUAGGCCGAACUUUAUUACACGAAUUAAUCCGGUUAUUUUAAUUCACAUCUAAACCACACGUUAAUGCGAUGGAAAAAAGAAGGAAAGACAUAGUAAGCUUUCACAUUGCCUACUAAGUGUAGUAAUUUACAUCAUGGUAUAGAUGCUUUUAUUUAAAAUGAAGGAAAAUAACGAAAGGAUUCAUCCUAUUAAGAAGAAAAUAUUAUGACAUUUCAUUUUCUGAGAUGGAUACAAAGUUUUCAACAGUUGUAAGAAAACAUACAUAGUUUGGGCAUUAAAUAGUUUUAUUAGUUGUUCACGUAAUGCCGUUUGUCACAGAAACACAUCUGACGUGCUAAAAAAUCAUCAUGAAAAAUGUUAGGGAGUCAAAAAUAGCAACAAAUAUAGCAUUUAGGUCGAGACAGCGGUUUAAGUCUAUGGAAAGAUUUUAUAAAUGUCUCAAAGUUCGGUUCAUCUUCAAUAUACACUUUUCUUGCCGUGCGAAACAAACUGUAUGAGUUCGGACUGUACCUACGCGUGGAUAGCUCAAGCUCCGCCCACUAGGACCAGCGAGGGGGAGCUUGGGCUUUGCUCCACCCCCUUGGCUCUGCAGGGAGUACCACUUGUGUUUUUUGGCAAUUUUAACAAUCAUAGGUAGUUUAGAUGGUCAGAGUAAGGUUAGGGUGUGGUUUAGGGUAAAGGUUUCGUAAGACUUGAAACACCAAGGAUUUAGUGAAACCAACAAGCCACGCCCACGGAUCUGACUCGAAACACCAAGGAUUUACAGCCAUUUGAGCGUUUGCGACAAAAACAUAUAUUAUCUCACUUUCGAUAAUAAAAAGUAUAAUAUGGAAAAAGUUUAAUAAAGAGGAGUCGAAUAAAUUGGCACGUAAUUAAGAAACUCUAUCGUUAAAGUCCCAGUGAAAUUAAAAACGACAAUUCUUAUUUUUUCAUGAAACAUGCAGCGUUUAUAGUAAAUAGCUUAUAAAUGUGGGUCAUUUUCUUUUUAUAAUUCGUGUACCCUCAUAAUCUUCCGUUCAAAUCUGAAAAUGCACUUCUGCCCUGAAAUGACUAUCCAUCUCAAAUGACGUAAACUACCCAGCAAACACGUGUAUGUGGGGCCCACACGGGUUGUAAAUGGGCUACAGGGGUGCAGAAUGGGCAUGGGCUCAAAAUGGGCAUCUUAUCUGGGGCCCACUUGGGUGACCCAGAUAGGACUUACAUGGGUGAACCCAGGGGGGCUCCCCAUGUGGUUUCUAGUUGGGUAAUUAAUGGGAAAUGUGUGCAUGGGUUUAAAAUGGGCUACAGUUAUGUCUUUUCACAAGGAGUAUUAAUGAAUUAAUUUAUUACUUUUUCUAGCCAAAUUUAGUAUCCACAAAUGUACAUUUCGAGGAGACAAACCUAUAUAGUUGUUAAGGUGGAAAUCCUACCUAAUUCAAUGCAAUGUUUAGCAAAUAUAAAUAUAAAAGUAUUUCUGGCUAACAUUUCAAUGUGUUAAUUUAACCUUUUUUAUUUUCUUCUUUUGAUAUUGCUUUGAUUUAAAUAUUGUGGUGUUUGAUUUUUUUAUGUAUUUCCAUAAUGUACCCAACAUUCAUAUUUGAAUUAAAAGGUCUUUGCUGCGCAGAACGAUCGGCGUAUGUCAUCAAAGUACCGCGAGAUGCAGCCCCGGAAGGAUCCCGUGAGAUUUCCUUUAGCAAUUCCCAUCCCCCUACUAAGUUACCUAAAUCGCGCUGGCGGCAUUUUCCUAUCACACGUGCACAGACUCGGCCGUACUUUUGCCUGCAGUUUAUAGAAGGUUGCUUUGGUAGAAGAAAUUGGAGGGAGUACUGUUGAUGAAGCAACAAGAAGAAUGAUGGCCUUCCUUUUUGACCACCCCUUAACAAGAGAGUACAAUUAUGUUGGCCGGCAUGGAAAGCGGGAGUUUCGGGGCCUCAGACUGUUUGAGGUUGUAUAUGGAAGCUUGAAAAAAAAUUCACUUACAAACCAAAUUACAAGAAAAGAUGCAGAAAAGGCUGUCUCAAAGUGGCUAAUCGGUGCCAGGGACAGGGGAGGAAACCGUUCUGCAAGGGCACGUGGAGAACAAGAUAGGGCUGUUUGGAGAGAGAGGACCGAGGAGCUGCACAGAUUUUUUUCCGGUAAAAUGUAUUAAAGGUUUAGGGCUGUUAAGUGUUUAAUUGUGAUUAAUCACAUCCAGAACAAUAAGUUUGUUUCUACAUAAUAUAUGUGUAUGUUUACUAUGCAUAUUGAUUUUGCAUUUAUAAACGUAAAUAUUUCCUAAAUAUAUAUACAUAUAUAUUUGUUUUUAUAUACUUAUAUUUACCAAUAAUUGAAAUUAUACAAGCAUUUAUUAAUGUUCAUAUUUUUCUUAAAAAUACACAUGCAUGUAUGUUUAAGAAUGCAAUGAUACACAGUACACAUACAUAUACUGUAUUAUGUAAAUACAAACUUUUAUUCUGAAUACGAUUAAUCAUUUAACAGCCCAGAUAUACAAGUUAUGCCAAAUGUUUUCAGUAGCUUUAACUUUUUUCAAGAUUCAUGUGUAUUAUAAAGUUGUAAAUGUAGAUAUGUUUUAUAAAGUUGUAAAUGUACAUGUGUUUUAUAAAGUUUAAAUCGUCACAUUUUAUGUAUGUUCAAAUGAAAAGUUAAUUCAAAUAAACUUUGCUAAAAAGCAUGCACU
Triplophysa rosa is the source of this 3775-nucleotide long non-coding RNA. RefSeq lists it as uncharacterized. The record is from RefSeq and is a predicted model, not a curated record. Lineage: Eukaryota; Metazoa; Chordata; Actinopteri; Cypriniformes; Nemacheilidae. The transcript is spliced from 7 exons.